Molecule: ribosomal RNA, 46 nt
Filed under: Sarcodon leucopus
Lineage: Eukaryota; Fungi; Basidiomycota; Agaricomycetes; Thelephorales; Thelephoraceae
Description: partial 28S ribosomal RNA
Source: RNAcentral
GACCUCAAAUCAGGUAGGACUACCCGCUGAACUUAAGCAUAUCNAU